This 240-nucleotide ribosomal RNA is filed under the name uncultured bacterium. Its description in RNAcentral is "partial 16S ribosomal RNA". It matches the Rfam family "Bacterial small subunit ribosomal RNA", at positions 94 to 334 of the family's 1533-position model. The record is from RNAcentral.
AGUGGCGGACGGGUGAGUAACGCGUGGGUAACCUGCCUCAUACAGGGGGAUAACAGUUAGAAAUGACUGCUAAUACCGCAUAAGCGCACAGUACCGCAUGGUACGGUGUGAAAAACUCCGGUGGUAUGAGAUGGACCCGCGUCUGAUUAGGUAGUUGGUGGGGUAACGGCCUACCAAGCCGACGAUCAGUAGCCGACCUGAGAGGGUGACCGGCCACAUUGGGACUGAGACACGGCCCAA